This 256-nucleotide ribosomal RNA is filed under the name uncultured bacterium. RNAcentral describes it as "partial 16S ribosomal RNA". It matches the Rfam family "Bacterial small subunit ribosomal RNA", at positions 524 to 776 of the family's 1533-position model. The record is from RNAcentral.
UACGGGGGGGAGCAAGCGUUGUUCGGAUUUACUGGGCGUAAAGGGCGCGUAGGCGGUCGUGACAAGUCACUUGUGAAAUCUCCGGGCUUAACUCGGAACGGUCAAGUGAUACUGUCGGACUAGAGUACAGAAGGGGCAACUGGAAUUCUCGGUGUAGCGGUGAAAUGGCGUAGAUAUCGAGAGGAACACCUGCGGCGAAGGCGGGUUGCUGGGCUGAUACUGACGCUGAGGCGCGAAAGCCAGGGGAGCGAACGGG